GCCGCCGCCGGCCACCGCUGCGUGCGAAGAGCAGUGCAGGCAGCCGGCGCACACGUGUGCGCUGCCGGUCGCCGCGUUGGCCGCUACUCUCCGCUCUCUCGGGGACGGGGCCGCGGUUGCUCCCCAGCGCGGGCCAGGGCGUGCGCUCGCCCCUGCGGACGCAGCCUGGAGGAGUGUGUGUGGGGGUGUCUGCGCGGGGGUCUGGAUGUGUCCAGCAGCGGCACGGCAGCCUGAUGCCUCCUCUCGUCUGGGACGCGGGUUCCUUGGCAGCUCUUCUGGGAUGCGGGGCCCUUGGGUAGUCCACCGAAGGGGGACAUCUCGAAGAGAAGCAGCGAGACCUGGGGAUCCGGUUGUUCGUUUUGGUCGUCGCCUGUGAGGCCAGCAUCCGAGCGUAAGAGGAAUCUAGGCGCUGUCUCGAAAAGAGAUGGCACCAAGGACAGCAAAUGCUGACAAAGAGAAGAGACGGACAAGCAUUUUCUUGUGAUUAAUACCGAAGGGACGGGAUGAGACAAGGAAGCCAAAAUGCAGUGGACCCUCGAUAUCACCAGGAACUGCUACAGGAGGCGGCGUUCUGGCACGGGUAACUAAGGGUGAUGGAUUUUACUCUGCCUCCAUCAACAGGCGCUGGCUGGCAAAGUCGUCGUGUCCCAGCGGAGACUCUUAGGCAGGACGGGAGGAGUUCGGAUCCGCAGCCUGCCAGAAGAGCGUCGCCUGGGAGGGGUCACUAGCCUUGAGCUACAGGCACUGGUGUUCGGAACCUCGGGCAAUGACUAUAUGCUGCCGCGAAGAGCUACCGGUUACCACUGCCGUCAGACGGGAUUUUUGCUGUCGCAAGUUACAGUUCCUUUUAGGAGCCAGCUACAAAAGUAACUUUGCUAUAGCAGAGAAAUGGGGUUACGUGUGUACGAGCAACAGCGCCAGAGUACACAGCAAAACCACAACCUACCAUAACCCAUCAGCUCCGUCUCUCUGGAGUUUGGAGUUUUUGGAGGCCUCAGUUUUUAUCCUGCCUUGGCUGGACAGUGCUUUCUGAGAGUGUCCGUCAGAGGCAGUUUCCCUGCAGAGGACCAUCUAGCGAAGGCUGGAGGUGGCCGGGUGCCUGAGCGAGCCUGCCUGUGUGUGAGAGCCGCUCUGACAUCUUUGCGAUGAAGCAGUGCCAGAGAGGGUGACUGAAGCAGCACGGGAGGGUCGGUCACGACUGUGGGAACAAUCACGGGCCUUGGACUAGGGAGCAGCUCUAGUAGGAGGGCCGUGCAGUUGCCCGGCCUCUCGGUAACCGCUCUGGCCUCUUUGCAGGUGCUGAAGCCCAGUCGGGCAGUCGAAGGAGCCUCGUCGCAGCUGGGAGCUCUGCGGAGAUGCGCGGCCGGCUGUGGAGGAUGAGCUCUGACUUGCGGCGUGGACACGGCUAAGUCCUGGGCUGCAUCGUACGCGAGUGGGGCUGGGAGGUGCGAGGCGUUCGUCCCCUAGCCGUGGUCACUGGCGCCGCUGGCUGUGGCCGUUUGCCCAUGGAGCUGAGAGGACCAAACAUACUAAUUGCCUGACCCGGAGAUGAAUUAGUGCUUGCAGGCUUUCAGGUAGGUUCAGUGCAAGUGCAGCUUAGUGCAGUCCCGUGGAGUGACGCUUGCACAUGCUCACAUUUGAAUGGUGGCUAAAACCAAGCCUCUAAACAGCAACUGUAAUGCAAUUCUGGUGCUUGUCUUCCUGUUCUGCUGUACUUCUAAAGGAAGGGAAAACUUCCUAAGCUGCGGGCAAAACUCCUUGGCUUCUCUUGACUGUUUCCAUGCUCUGGAAACAGCUUUGGGUGCUUUGGUGCUUGUUGCUUAAAGCUGAGGGUUUGGAAUUUUUCACUUAAGGUUGAUUGUUUAGCUUGCUGCUGAGGGUCUCUCACCCAGGAGUUACGGGUUAUUCCUUUCUUUAGUGGGGCUCACUCUUUAUCAGUCAGGGUUUACAGUUUGCUCAUGUAGCAAUCGGGGCGCAGAAUUUAAAAUCCAACCCCAUCCCUUGUCCCGAUCCAAUAUCGGGGGGGUUUCGUUACGAUCCCAAGGACGAGAUUAAGACGCUAAAACCGGUCAAAUAUCGUACAACCGUUUAACAUUAUUUUCCACAAAGUGGGGAGAAAAGGUGGGGAAAGGCGAAGGAGAGGCGAAGGG
Dromaius novaehollandiae (emu) is the source of this 2150-nucleotide long non-coding RNA. RefSeq lists it as uncharacterized. The transcript is spliced from 6 exons. The record is from RefSeq and is a predicted model, not a curated record. Lineage: Eukaryota; Metazoa; Chordata; Aves; Casuariiformes; Dromaiidae.